UCCCUGGUGGCUCAGCGGUAAAGAAUCUGCCUGCGAUGCAGGAAACACAGGUUCGAUUCCUGGGUCGGGAA
This 71-nucleotide transfer RNA is filed under the name Bos taurus (domestic cattle). It matches the Rfam family "tRNA". From Rfam's summary of the family: Transfer RNA (tRNA) molecules are approximately 80 nucleotides in length. Their secondary structure includes four short double-helical elements and three loops (D, anti-codon, and T loops). RNAcentral also lists the same sequence under 4 other names. The record is from Rfam by way of RNAcentral. Lineage: Eukaryota; Metazoa; Chordata; Mammalia; Artiodactyla; Bovidae.